UACGUAGGAGGCAAGCGUUGUCCGGAAUUACUGGGCGUAAAGCGCGUGUAGGUGGUGGGACAAGUCUGCUGUGAAAGCGCCUGGCUUAACCGGGCGAGGUCGGCGGAAACUGUUCGACUCGAGGACGGUAGAGGGGGGUGGAAUUCCCGGUGUAGUGGUGAAAUGCGUAGAGAUCGGGAGGAACACCUGUGGCGAAGGCGGCCCCCUGGGCCGGCCCUGACACUGAGACGCGAAGGCGUGGGGAGCGAAUGGG
Molecule: ribosomal RNA, 253 nt
Filed under: uncultured bacterium
Lineage: Bacteria
Description: partial 16S ribosomal RNA
Rfam family: Bacterial small subunit ribosomal RNA
Source: RNAcentral